UACAGGGGGUGCAAACAUUGCUCGGAAUCAUUGGGCGUAAAGCGCACGUAGGCGGUCUGUUAUGUCGGAUGUGAAAGCCCUUGGCUCAACUGAGGAAGUGCAUCCGAAACUGGCAGGCUAGAGUACUAAAGAGGGUCGCGGAAUUCCCGGUGUAGAGGUGAAAUUCGUAGAUAUCGGGAGGAACACCGGUGGCGAAGGCGGCGACCUGGGUAGAUACUGACGCUGAGGUGCGAAAGCGUGGGGAGCAAACAGG
RNAcentral lists this ribosomal RNA (253 nucleotides) under uncultured bacterium. Its description in RNAcentral is "partial 16S ribosomal RNA". It matches the Rfam family "Bacterial small subunit ribosomal RNA", at positions 524 to 776 of the family's 1533-position model. The record is from RNAcentral.